AAAUAAUAAAGCAUUUAAAAUGUCACAUUUAGGAAUUUGGAAGAGCUUUAAAUGGGGUAAGAUAAUACUAAGGGCUGUAGUUCAGAAAGAUCAGUAAUUGGCUACAAUGUAGAGAAAUUGUGGUGAUGCCAAACUGCAUGAUUGUAUUGUUUUUCUCCAGUAGUACUCAGCUCCCAACAAAGAAUUGAGUAUGGCAUCAAGCCAGGAUGCGGGGAUAGCUCUAGUUGAAGAGCUAGAUUCAGAGAAAAUGGAAGAAUCCAAGCUCAGAAGUCUCCAUGAAGUGGGAGAGCAAGUAUGAGUGUGAGCAGCAGAUGUGGAAUAAUUGGAUGAUAUGAUCAGAGAAAGGGAUGUAAGAGAUUCCUGAGAGCAGUUCUGGGUGCAAGGUAUAGAGUGUGGCCUUGGGAAUUAAUUAGUAAAGUGAAGAGUUGCAUUGUGGAGAUCAAGGAAUCACAUGGUACAUUCUAUACUCCUUUCCUGAGCUAAAACAAUGGCUUAUUCUUUCUUUGGUACUGACACUGGUUUAUUAUCUUUAGUUUUUGCAGAUUCCAUCAUUUGACAAGUAUUUGCUGAGUGCCUACUAUGAGCUGUGCUGCACCCAUUGGCACUGGGCAUGGUGAUAUGCACCUGUGGUCCCAUCUACUCAAGAAGCUGAGGUAGGAAGAUCACUGGAGCCAGAGAGGUUGAGUCUGCAGCGAGCUGUGAUGUGCCACUGCACUCCAGCCUGUCUCAAAAAAAAAAAAAAAAUUGCUCCCACAUUUUAUUCCUUAGGGACAUGGUGGUUGAGCUUUAAGGUAUGAAGGGGAAAUAGUUGAAGGGAGGGGGAAGCAAGGAGAGUGUCCCAAACAGAUGACCAAGCACUUACAAAGGCCCUGGAUAAAGUAGCAUGUGGCCCUCAGAAGCUUCACAGUUCCUACGAAUGGCGGAGAACAAAUGAGAGAAUGAUGAAGGCAAUGAAAUAGGGGCUGAUUCAUGCUUCUGUAGGCCGUGUUAAGGAUGUCCUAUGAACAACAGAGCGCCAUUAAAGAGAUUAAGAUACCUGGGGCUGGAAUAGGGAUUUGUAUUUGUAGAAUUCAAUUUGUGUUUCUAAAAGAUCACUGACUACGACCUAUAGAAUGAUUGGAGCAGGGUCAUAGUGUUCCAUGUGAGAGAUGACAAUAACUUGGGCUGGGGGGUGGUAGUAGUGGAGGGAGGGUAGUGGCCUCAUUUGUUUGGAAAGUUAAGUCAGUCACGUAUCUUUGGUUAUUAUAAUUUAAAUUGUAAUAAGGAGAUAACAAGUAUGAACUUCCUUAGUAAAAUCAGAUGAGUGAAGCCAGCCUUCCUGGGUUGCAUCCACAUAGGAGAAAACAUGACUUACUCCUCGUUCUUCUGGAGAAUGGCCCAUGAGGGAACAACCAUCAUUUUAAGUGAAGAAUCUAAAUAUAUUACAUUAUCCAGAAAGGAGAAAAGUAGUCUAGGUGGAUUCCUGCAUAACUGUAAAAAGUCAACUGAAUCUUUAACAUUUUGCCAUUUAUAAAAUUCAAAGUAAUUUCAAGACAAUUAAUGAAGGUUUUAACUCAAUAAAGUUUGUUACUUAAUAGUUUGAUUUUGCUAAUUAAAGAAAGAAUACCUUAUCCCAUCUCUCUCCAUCUAGUCCUUUGUAGAGGCAACCACUUUAAAUUCUUAGCUCUUUCUUUGGGUCAUUUAUAUUUCUAAAGAAUAUACUGUUACAAUUUGUUAACCCUAGACCUUACAUAUUGAAUUAUAUUAUGAUCUGUUGACUUUUUUAUGAUAGGUAAGGACUUGGCUCUCAUGUCCUUCCCCUCUCCUCCCAAUAUGGAUAUAUUUAAUGAGAAUUUAUAUAAUAUAAAACAACUAUGUAAAUAUUGUUUAAUCAGAGCCAACACUUAGUGUACUAUAAAUACAUGUUCCUGUAUAUGAUGUUUUCUUGUGUACUUUAAUUCCUUUGGAAUGUUCUUUUAUAUCAUUCGCUCUUUGGAGUCUUCCCCCACCCUCUUCCUCUAUCCCAGCCCCUCCUCCCCAUUAGUUUUGUAUCAAUGUGGAUUCGUUUUCCAGGGCUGCUGCAAAGUUGUUCCAGACUUUUCCUUCCCCAUUUCUGGCUGGAUCCAGAGUCCAUCUCUGGCAUCCAUACUUUUGUCCUUUUAGCUUAAAAUUCUCGGUUUGCUUGAGCAUAUCCUGCCAUAACUUCCUAAGAAUAGGUGCAUGGGGACAAAGUUUUCGAAUUAUUGGAUGUCUGAAAACGUCUUUAGUCUCAUGAUUGAUAGCCGGGUCUAGAAUUCUAAGUUGAAAAGUUUCCCUUUGAAAGCUUCUCAUAGUCUCCUAGCCUGUGCUGUUGCUGUUAAGUGGACUGAUACAAUUAUGAUUUUUGUUCUUUUGUAUACGAUCUGUGUUUCCCCUCUCUAGAAGACUUUAGGAUAUUUUUUGUAUUUCUGGUAUUCUAAAAUUUCAUAGCGAUGUCCCUUAAUGUGAAUCUUUUUUAAAAAACUCAUUUUGCAGCUGGGCACCAUGGCUCACACCUGUUAUCCUAGCCCUUUGUGAGGCUGAGGUGGGAGGAUUGCUUGAAGCCAAGAGUUCAAAACCAGCCUGGACAACAAAGCAAGAUCCCAUCUCUAUUGUUUUAAUAAAAUUAAUAAAAUUCAUUUUGCAGGGUGUGUUGUAGGCUUAUUUAAUCUGUGUCCUUAGCUCUGGAGAAUUUUCUUUACUAACUAACUUUCUCCCCUUUAGUUUAUUUGUCCUCUUAAAUCUGUAGAUACUGUUCCUUUUAGACUAAUUUUCUCAGCUAUGUUUUUUGCUCUUCCCUGCCCCCUUUCCUUUUUGGCUCUGUCUUCUUUGAGAGGAGUUUUCCUACAUUAUCUUAUCUUUUAACUCUAAUAUUAAAUAAUUCAUUACAACUAUAUAUUUUAAAUUUUGAAGGUUUUUUCUUGUUCUCUGAUUGCUCCCUUCAUAUAGCAACUUUUAUUUUAUGAAUAAAUAUACCACCUUCUCAUAUCAUCUAUUUGUUAGAUUAGAAAGUAGAAUUUUCAGCUGGG
This 3026-nucleotide long non-coding RNA is filed under the name Homo sapiens (human). RNAcentral describes it as "HSALNT0086686". Lineage: Eukaryota; Metazoa; Chordata; Mammalia; Primates; Hominidae. The record is from RNAcentral.